Molecule: long non-coding RNA, 1294 nt
Organism: Anopheles arabiensis
Lineage: Eukaryota; Metazoa; Arthropoda; Insecta; Diptera; Culicidae
Exons: 7
Source: RefSeq, a predicted model, not a curated record
AGUGAAAAAAAACGAAGAAUUUCGUAGCGUUUGGUGUCGUUCUACCAAAAAACUCCCGACUAAUGGUCGAUAAUGAAAAGUGUGUGUCUGUGUGUGCGUGUGUAAGGAUUUACGAAACGUCCAACGUGGCCUGGGAGGAGGAAGCAACAGGUACAGUUUCAUCCGCCCCAGGGCUAUGAUGAUCCGCGCCAAAUGAUGAUAAGGCAAAUUAGAGCUUGACCCGGGUGGGAGAAGAUCCCAGGCUGUACUUUCCGAGAAGCAUCUGGGUUGAUGAUACGUUUUGCAUAAGCUGUAAUCAAUUUGAAGAAGUCUGUAUGCGAAGUUUCGAGGCUUGAGAAUGCAUUCCAGCUCGCUGUGAACAGAUGUUUGGAGGAACUACAGGUGAAGAUCAUCAUGGGCCACGGGGACAGAGCGAGAGGUUUUGCUCGAUACGAGAUUUGGUGUUUCCCCUCCCCCUCCUGCGAUUCCACCCUUGCACCGGGCGGGUUGGUGCAUCCCGAAGGUUAAGGAUGGCUGCGACCGCUGGGUGGUAAGUGCGUAGGCAGUGAGCUGUCGUUGGACUGCGAUCAAGAAAAAAUCAAGCUGCCUGGUGCAAACGUCCCCAUGCUCUAAUGGACAGCAAGAGAUCGCAACUACCCGAUCCGUAGUGCCGCCCGGGCGGAUGGAAGUUUUCGUUAAUAGAUUUCUGGAAAUGGCCGAAGGCGGUUUGAAGCAACAACAGCGCAACAGUCCAAAAUCAAUCGUCGCGAGAUGAUCGGAAAACAUCGAACCUAUUAUUGCGCGGCUGUUGUUUCAAAAUCAGUGUGUAUGUCCGUGUGUGGAGCGCUGGUUUUUUAUAGACUCUUUGCUGUCGCUUUUGCCCCCGUCAGGUCUUUGAACUCGCAACCGGAUAGGUCCCGGGAGGGAGGUGGCGGGAUGUAGUACGGGAAGGUGCAACAUAAAACAUAUUUACGACCUUGCUCGAUAUCUUCCUCCUUCUGCCGGUCUCGUUCUUGGAUUUGGUAGUCUCCCUUCUGCCGAGCGUCAUAAAACAGUGUCCCAUCAUCUUGAUAUCGUCUCACAGUAAACGGUGACGAUGACGACGACGAUCAAGAGUGAUUUUUGACAAUUUUCACCGGAUGCUUGGUAAAAAACAGUUUAACCCGUCAAUGCAGACGAUGAUGAACUGUGGCGUGUCGUAUUUGAUAAUACAGCAUGUUGAGAAGGGCAGCUUUGUAGCCUCUGGUAAGUGUUGACUGAAAGUAAUCGAUCCAUUUCAAUCCUUCUAUGAUCAGGGUAAACAAAAUAAGUUUAA